ACACCCCACGGGAGGCAGCAGUGAGGAAUAUUGGUCAAUGGGCGCGAGCCUGAACCAGCCAAGUCGCGUGAGGGAAGACGGUCGUAUGGAUUGUAAAGCUCUUUUGUCGGGGAGCAAAAGACGCCACGUGUGGCGUUCCGAGAGUACCCGAAGAAAAAGCAUCGGCUAACUCCGUGCCAGCAGCCGCGGUCAUACGGAGGAUGCGAGCGUUAUCCGGUUUUAUUGGGUUU
Molecule: ribosomal RNA, 230 nt
Filed under: uncultured bacterium
Lineage: Bacteria
Description: partial 16S ribosomal RNA
Rfam family: Bacterial small subunit ribosomal RNA
Source: RNAcentral